Molecule: ribosomal RNA, 247 nt
Filed under: uncultured bacterium
Lineage: Bacteria
Description: partial 16S ribosomal RNA
Rfam family: Bacterial small subunit ribosomal RNA
Source: RNAcentral
AUACGAAGGGGGCUAGCGUUGUUCGGAAUUACUGGGCGUAAAGCGCAUGUAGGCGGACAUUUAAGUCAGGGGUGAAAUCCCGGGGCUCAACCCCGGGACUGCUUUGGAAACUGUGGAACUAGAGUGCAGGAGAGGUAAGUGGAAUUCCUAGUGUAGCGGUGAAAUUCGUAGAUAUUCGGAGGAACACCAGUGGCGAAGGCGGCUUACUGGUCCAUUACUGACGCUGAGGUGCGAAAGCGUGGGGAGC